This 255-nucleotide ribosomal RNA is filed under the name uncultured bacterium. RNAcentral describes it as "partial 16S ribosomal RNA". It matches the Rfam family "Bacterial small subunit ribosomal RNA", at positions 524 to 776 of the family's 1533-position model. The record is from RNAcentral.
UACGUAGGGGGGCAAGCGUUUGUCCGGAUUUAUUGGGCGUAAAGAGCGUGUAGGCGGUUUGGUAGGUCCGUUGUGAAAACUCGAGGCUCAACCUCGAGACGCCGAUGGAAACCAUCAGACUAGAGUCCGGAAGAGGAGAGUGGAAUUCCUGGUGUAGCGGUGAAAUGCGCAGAUAUCAGGAGGAACACCGGUGGCGAAGGCGGGUCUCUGGGCAGUAACUGACGCUGAGGAGCGAAAGCGUGGGGAGCGAACAGG